GGCGUUUUGGCCCCACGAUGGGCUAAAAUGACUCCUCGAGGGAGUCGCGCGACUCUUCCUGAAGAGUACAUUGGCUCCUUGAGGGGUAGUUGCUCGUUCAUAGAAGACCGCGCAUUUUUGUUUAUGAGCCCUCCCUCUUCUACGCCAGCAGCAUACUUUGUAAGAGCACUUGCAAAUCGACAAUGAUAUAUUUAUAUUGCUAUAUUUUUACUAUUUAUACUGCUGUUUGCAAAGUCGAAUAAAAUCCACUAGAGUUUGUCAGGUAGGAUACAGACCGUCCUCUGGUAGUAGUCAGAGUAGAAUAUAUAAAAAAUCGUUGGACAUUGGCCAGCCAGAAUAUACAAUAGAAUACAAUUCGCCAUAAUUUGUGGCGACGAAUAUGGCUUUUAAACCCUUCGUAAUUCUUAUACGAAGCUCCGCAUCCACGAACUUUGCAAGCUACAAAAAAAUUUGGAUCGUGGCGAUGGCAUCGACCGUAAUGAUUGAAUAUUGUGGCAAUUUCACGUGCUACAAAUGGCACACGAUUGCCUCUGCACAUUUCACAUUCUCGUCAAAUUAA
Molecule: non-coding RNA, 559 nt
Organism: Paramuricea clavata
Lineage: Eukaryota; Metazoa; Cnidaria; Anthozoa; Malacalcyonacea; Plexauridae
Source: the annotation of a GenBank genome assembly